Molecule: long non-coding RNA, 276 nt
Filed under: Homo sapiens (human)
Lineage: Eukaryota; Metazoa; Chordata; Mammalia; Primates; Hominidae
Description: LNC_000565
Source: RNAcentral
CAGGUUGAUUUCAUGUUGCCGCUGCUGGGCCUGAAGGCGGUGCUUGGCUCGGCGGUGGUGGCAAACACAGCAGCAGCUCAGGAUGAUGAUGAUGGUCCACACCAGCCAGAACCACCAGAGUUCAUAGUAGUAGUUGCAGCACUGAGACUGUCCACAGCAGUGUCCUGUGUCACAGAUGUAGCUUUGAUUGUUGGUACCCACACAGGCUUCCUUAUCCUGCGGGGGUUCAGCCCUGGCUGACAAGGGGCUGGGCAGCGCCUGGAGGAGCAGGAGCGC